This 430-nucleotide ribosomal RNA is filed under the name uncultured bacterium. RNAcentral describes it as "bacterial SSU rRNA". It matches the Rfam family "Bacterial small subunit ribosomal RNA", at positions 959 to 1393 of the family's 1533-position model. The record is from RNAcentral.
ACGCGAAGGACCUUACCUACCCUUGACAUGUCCAGAAUCCUGCAGAGAUGCGGGAGUGCCCGAAAGGGAAUUGGAACACAGGUGCUGCAUGGCUGUCGUCAGCUCGUGUCGUGAGAUGUUGGGUUAAGUCCCGCAACGAGCGCAACCCUUAUCAUUAGUUGCUACGCAAGGGCACUCUAAUGAGACUGCCGGUGACAAACCGGAGGAAGGUGGGGAUGACGUCAAGUCCUCAUGGCCCUUAUGGGUAGGGCUUCACACGUCAUACAAUGGUCGGUACAGAGGGUCGCCAAGCCGCGAGGUGGAGCCAAUCCCAGAAAGCCGAUCGUAGUCCGGAUUGUUCUCUGCAACUCGAGAGCAUGAAGUCGGAAUCGCUAGUAAUCGCGGAUCAGCAUGUCGCGGUGAAUACGUUCCCGGGUCUUGUACACACCGA